Molecule: transfer RNA, 75 nt
Rfam family: tRNA
About the family: Transfer RNA (tRNA) molecules are approximately 80 nucleotides in length. Their secondary structure includes four short double-helical elements and three loops (D, anti-codon, and T loops).
GCCGGCGUAGCUCAGCGGCAGAGCAACUGUUUUGUAAACAGUAGGUCGUCGGUUCAAAUCCGACCGCCGGCUCCG